RNAcentral lists this transfer RNA (72 nucleotides) under Arnoglossus laterna (scaldfish). RNAcentral describes it as "tRNA-Thr". It matches the Rfam family "tRNA". From Rfam's summary of the family: Transfer RNA (tRNA) molecules are approximately 80 nucleotides in length. Their secondary structure includes four short double-helical elements and three loops (D, anti-codon, and T loops). Lineage: Eukaryota; Metazoa; Chordata; Actinopteri; Pleuronectiformes; Bothidae. The record is from RNAcentral.
GCAGCAGUAGCUCAGUCUCAGAGCGCCGGUCUUGUAAACCGGAUGCCGGGGGCGAAACUCCCCCCUGCCGCU